CCCUGGCAGUCUAGGAUAGUGUGCACGGACAGUCCGGCACAACUUUCGGUAUGUUCAUACUCUCAAUUCUGGAAAUUUCCUGAUUUAGGGAGGCUCAAAUAUACUCCUUUCAAAUGUCUCCCCUCAUUGCCUUAUACUAAAGAGUCUUAACCAAAUCUACAUUUCUCAGUGGCCUUCUAAAUGUCAUGUAAAAAAGGCCAUGGAAGUUUACUUAAUAUAUUUCUAUUAAGAAAAAAAAUCUUUAUUUUUCCCAAUUUUUAGCAUGCAUUAAAAAAACCAAUAAAUUUGAGUCCCAAAUUUUCUCUGUCCCUCCCUCAUUUGCUUCCUCCCUGAGAUGUGUUCAAUACAUUUAUUAGACAAUUUGAUAAUUAAUAGUCUUUUAUAGAGAAUUGGAUCUAUCAUAAUCGGUUGCUUUGUAGUACACAAUCAUGGCCCCCAUAUAAAAUUAUACAAAUUCAACAAGUACACAACAUUUUGCCAAAUUAUUAUAAACAAUCACUUGCCUAUUCCUUAUAAGAGCUUAUCUGAACCCAAAACCAUUAGAACAAAAUUAAAAUUAAAAUGCAAUUUUAAAAAUAAAAUAAUAAAAAAUUAAAGAAAAAAAAAUCUUCCCCUCUCUUUCACUCCCCUCCUCUUCUUCUCCCAGAAGUCUAUUUGCAAAUAAGCACCCAGAACACAUUGAUCUUUCCACAUAGAGGAUGAAGAUUUGGGGGUCCAUUGGGAAUGGCCCUUCCAGAUUCAGGUUCCUAAUUGGAGGCCCAAAAUAAGUCAGAGAAAGGACAAGCAGAAUUAGCUGAAAAGCAAAUUCAGAUGAUCCCUGAACAUGCUUGGGAAUUCCCCAAAUGGAAUGAACACUGAAGGUUGAUGGGAAUCAAACCUGUAGAUCCUGGGAAAGAUUGCCAAGAUUGAAGAUCUGUACUAUAUUCCACAGAUGGAAACAAGAAAGAAAGAGAGAAGUUGUCUCUCUUUUUGAAGACUGACUUCAGGAAUGACCAGCAGGAUGAAUACAGAGAGGACUGGCGAGACUUACAUGAACUGAUGCUAAGUGAAAUGAGCAGAACCAGGAGAUCAUUAUACACUUCGACAAUGAUAUUGUAUGAGGACAUAUUUUGAUGGAAGUGGAUUUCUUUGACAAAGAGACCUAAGUUUCAAUUGAUAAAUGACGGACAUAAGCAGCUACACCCAAAGAACGAACACUGGGAAACGAAUGUGAACUAUCUGUAUUUUUGUUUUUCUUCCCGGGUUAUUUAUACCUUCUGAAUCCAAUUCUCCCUAUGCAACAAGAGAACUGUUCGGUUCUGCAAACAUAUAUUGUAUCUAGGAUAUACUGCAACAUAUCCAACAUAUAAAGGACUGCUUGCCAUCUAGGGGAGGGGGUGGAGGGAGGGAGGGGGAAAAAAAAUCGGAAAAGAAACGAGUGCAAGGAAUAAUGUUGUCAAUAUAAAGUAAUCAUUAAAUAAAAAAUAAAAAUUAAAAAAAAAAAAAAAGAAGACUGACUUCAGGAGAAUCAAGAGCCAUGGUACAUCAGAAAGAGUUAGGAUACAUGUUCUACGUAUAGAACCUACAGACGUAGAGAAUCCCAAUUUGGGGGGGGGGGGGAGUGGAUGUUGUAUCUGUGAAAGCUUGUUGAAAUAGGUACUUUGUUCUAAAAAGACUUGAAUAUUAUUUGCCUGGGUAUACUAAGAAAUUUUGUAGAACCUGCUAUAAGGAUUGUCUUUUAAAAACUCUUAAAAAAAAUGAGAAUCAGUUUGAAGAAUGGCUGACCAAGAAGUAUAUGGAUGUAAUGGAAUAUUAGUGUUCUUUAAGAAAAAUUUACCAGGCAGAUUUUGGAAAAAUUUAGGUAGUCUUAUAAGAACUGAUGCUGAAAUUAUAGACAUAAUUAAUAACUUCAUCCAAGAAAACGAUAAUAAUGAGACAUCAUACCAAAAUGUAUGGGAUGCAGCCAAAGCGGUAAUAAGGGGAAAUCUCAUAUCUCUAGAGGCCUAUUUGUAUAAAAUAGAGAAAGAGAAGGUCAAUGAAGAACUGAUGCUGAGUGAAGUGAGCAGAACUAGAACACUGUACAUAGUAACAGCAACAUUGUGCAAUCAUCAACUGACAGAUUUUGCUCUUUUUGAAUAAUACAAUGAUCCAAAACAGUUCCCAUAAAUUUGUGAUAGAAAAUCCUAUCCACAUCUAGAGAAAGAAAUAUGAAGACUGAAUGAAGAUUGAAACAUAGUAUUUUCAUCUUAUUUGUUUUUAUUUUUACCUGUUGCAGUUUUUUCUCUCUUCUUUCACAACAUGUCUAACGUGGAAAUGUUUAAUGAUUAUAUAUGUAUAACCUAUAUCAGAUUGUUUACUGCCUUAGGUAGGGGAGAAGGAAGGAAGGAAGGAAGGGCAGGAGAAAAACUAUUCUUAUUGUUCAAUAUCUUAUAAAAAUAAAUGUUGAUAUAUUGUAACAUUUAACAUGUAUUGGACUACCUGUCAUCUAGGAGACGGGAUAGGGGGAAGGAGAGGAAAAAUUGAAACAAGGUUUUGCAAGGGUCAAUGCUAGAAAAAUUACCCAUGCAUAUGUUUUGUAAACAAAAAGCCGUAAUAAAAUAAAAUUUAAAAAUAAAUGUUGAAAACUAUUGUUACAUAUAAUUGGAAAAAAUAAAAUAAAA
This is a long non-coding RNA of Antechinus flavipes (yellow-footed antechinus), 2639 nucleotides long. RefSeq lists it as uncharacterized. Lineage: Eukaryota; Metazoa; Chordata; Mammalia; Dasyuromorphia; Dasyuridae. The transcript has 3 exons. The record is from RefSeq and is a predicted model, not a curated record.